Long non-coding RNA from Hyaena hyaena (striped hyena), 1184 nucleotides. RefSeq lists it as uncharacterized. NCBI's taxonomy places the organism in Eukaryota, Metazoa, Chordata, Mammalia, Carnivora, Hyaenidae. The transcript has 3 exons. The record is from RefSeq and is a predicted model, not a curated record.
UGCCGGUGAACGGAGAUGUGCUUUCGCUCGCCUCGGGGAGCGGACGGGGCAGCGCAGGCGGCAGCGGCCCGUCGCUGGAUAGAUUUGCACCCCAAUCCCACCGCCGGGGAAGUCGAGCAAACAGGACAGCCAUCGAGCGUCCGAUUCUGAGUGGGUCCCACCUGGGAUUAAACUCCGUUUAAAUCUGAGCCAGUUCUGAGACCUGGAGCCCACUGGUUGAAAGGCAGACUUGGUCCUUCAAGGAAGGAUCCCGUGAUGCCACCGCAAGCAUAUGAAAAAAAAUCCUCUAAUCCUUCCCCAAAGGGACCUAGAGCCGCUUAACAAAUAAUUUACUUUGGAAAAGGGACUAUCCAGGAGCAAAGACACAGGAAUAAGAACCCAGGGGUUGGGAUAUCUCUCACCAUCAUGCUCAGUGACCCGUUUGUAGGAUUUGCACAUUCUUUCUCUGCAACAUUGAACUCUGCUGGAUUUGGCCCCUGGUUCCCAGAUUCUAGAUUCAGUGUUUUGGCUAAAGCCCUGGGAUAAGCACUAACUGUGCUUAGUUGGCUAAAUGGAGCCUGGACUCGGCAGUCUGCACUGUGCGAAGAUUAUGCUUGUUUGCUGAUAGAAAUGAUCCAGAAGAGAAGGAGAUAUUGAUGAUGCAAGAGAGAAGAGCUUGAAUGGCAAUGACAACAGUGAGAGGGUCACCAGACUGGAGAUCUAUGGUUUUAGAACAUGGCCCCCAAUUCCUUGACAUUCCUCCUACUGAGAGUUGGGUCUAUGACCUCUCUCUUGAAUCUGGAGAGUCUUGGGACUACUUUGACCAAUAGGUAUGAAAGUCAUAUGGCAGAAAUGAUGCCAUAUGACUUUCAAAGCUAGGUCAGGAAAGGCCAUGCAGCUUCUGCUGGGCCCUCCUCGGAUACUCACUCUGGAGGAAGCCAGCCAUCUUGUAAAAAGUCCAGUUACCCUGAGACUAUACCAUGCCAGAGAGGCCAGGUGUAGGUGCUGGUUGACAGCCCCAGCUAAGCUCUCAGUCAACAGUCAAUAUCAACUGCCAGCCUUGUGAGUGAGCCAUCUUGGAUAUCCAGGCCAGAUGAUCUCUGACUGUAACCACACAAUACCAAAAGCCCCAGACAAGGACUUUCAAAUCCCAAAAUUAUGACUGCAAAACUGUAAGCAGAAUAAAAUUUUUUUAAUCCACUAAA